RNAcentral lists this unclassified non-coding RNA (632 nucleotides) under Hevea brasiliensis (rubber tree). The record is from RNAcentral. Lineage: Eukaryota; Viridiplantae; Streptophyta; Magnoliopsida; Malpighiales; Euphorbiaceae.
AUAAUAAUAAUAAUAAUAAUAUAAAGCAAAACAUGCAAAUCAGAAAAAAAAUUAAAGCUGAAGGCCAUGACUCAGCAGAGAUUCUAAACAGAAAAUUAAUGUAUCAACAAGUCCCCAAUACAGCAGAACUUGUGGGGACUUGGACUCCUUAGAUAAGCUUUUAAUUAGCAAAGAAUAUAUGUUUCAUAUAAUACACAGAAAACAUUAAAAAUAUUACUAGAAAGAACAAAGAAAUGCUAGUACAAUACUUUGAAGACCUGCCACUUCGAUUUGGGUAAAUCUUCUUGUUUACAAUAUAAUGCUUCAGCAUAUUUAAUGGGAGAAAAGGUCCCUCUAACUUGAACUGACCAAAACUUUAUAGUACAACAUGUAUGUUAAUUAUGGAAAGAAUCACACGUUUUUCAAGUUCCAUAAAACAACAGAAACUUAAGCUUACAAUGGAAAGCAUGAAACAAAUAAAUUCAAUAUUAAUGUAAUUACUAGAAUUAGAAGUUGCCAAUAACAAAUGCAAUUAUUAGAAUACAACGAGGUUUAAUAAGAGUUUAGAGCCAUAGAUGUCAAAGAUGAAGUUAUCUGUUGCAUCAUGACCACAUUACAGUUGAUUCCAGAAAGAGCAGGAUUUCCACACACAA